GCGCCCGUAGCUCAGCUGGAUAGAGCGCUGCCCUCCGAAGGCAGAGGUCAGAGGUUCGAGUCCUCUCGGGCGCGCCA
This 77-nucleotide transfer RNA is filed under the name Alphaproteobacteria bacterium. RNAcentral describes it as "tRNA-Arg". It matches the Rfam family "tRNA". Rfam says of the family: Transfer RNA (tRNA) molecules are approximately 80 nucleotides in length. Their secondary structure includes four short double-helical elements and three loops (D, anti-codon, and T loops). Further hydrogen bonds mediate the characteristic L-shaped molecular structure. tRNAs have two regions of fundamental functional importance: the anti-codon, which is responsible for specific mRNA codon recognition, and the 3' end, to which the tRNAs corresponding amino acid is attached (by aminoacyl-tRNA synthetases). tRNAs cope with the degeneracy of the genetic code in two manners: having more than one tRNA (with a specific anti-codon) for a particular amino acid; and 'wobble' base-pairing, i.e. permitting non-standard base-pairing at the 3rd anti-codon position. Lineage: Bacteria; Pseudomonadati; Pseudomonadota; Alphaproteobacteria. The record is from RNAcentral.